Molecule: ribosomal RNA, 449 nt
Filed under: uncultured bacterium
Lineage: Bacteria
Description: partial 16S ribosomal RNA
Rfam family: Bacterial small subunit ribosomal RNA
Source: RNAcentral
CCUACGGGUGGCUGCAGUGGGGAAUUUUGGACAAUGGGCGCAAGCCUGAUCCAGCCAUGCCGCGUGCAGGAUGAAGGCCUUCGGGUUGUAAACUGCUUUUGUACGGAACGAAAAGGUGCCUUCUAAUAAAGGGCGCUCAUGACGGUACCGUAAGAAUAAGCACCGGCUAACUACGUGCCAGCAGCCGCGGUAAUACGUAGGGUACAAGCGUUAAUCGGGAGUACUGGGGCGAAUUUGUGCGCAGGAGGUGAAAUCCCCGGGCUCAACCUGGGAACUGCCUUUGUGACUGCAAGGCUGGAGUGCGGCAGAGGGGGAUGGAAUUCCGCGUGUAGCAGUGAAAUGCGUAGAUAUGCGGAGGAACACCGAUGGCGAAGGCAAUCCCCUGGGCCUGCACUGACGCUCAUGCACGAAAGCGUGGGGAGCAAACAGGAUUAGAUACCCCUGAAGUC